GAUGAACGCUGGCGGCGUGCCUAAUACAUGCAAGUCGAGCGAACAGACGAGGAGCUUGCUCCUCUGACGUUAGCGGCGGACGGGUGAGUAACACGUGGAGAACCUACCUAUAAGACUGGGAUAACUUCGGGAAACCGGAGCUAAUACCGGAUAAUAUAUUGAACCGCAUGGUUCAAUAGUAAAAGACGGUUUUGCUUUCACUUAUAGAUGGAUCCGCGCCGCAUUAGCUAGUUGGUAAGGUAACGGCUUACCAAGGCAACGAUGCGUAGCCGACCUGAGAGGGUGAUCGGCCACACUGGAACUGAGACACGGUCCAGACUCCUACGGGAGGCAGCAGUAGGGAAUCUUCCGCAAUGGGCGAAAGCCUGACGGAGCAACGCCGCGUGAGUGAUGAAGGUCUUCGGAUCGUAAAACUCUGUUAUUAGGGAAGAACAAAUGUGUAAGUAACUAUGCACGUCUUGACGGUACCUAAUCAGAAAGCCACGGCUAACUCCGUG
RNAcentral lists this ribosomal RNA (497 nucleotides) under uncultured bacterium. RNAcentral's name for it is "partial 16S ribosomal RNA". It matches the Rfam family "Bacterial small subunit ribosomal RNA", at positions 28 to 507 of the family's 1533-position model. The record is from RNAcentral.